AGCAGCCGUGCCUGUGCGCCGCUUGUUCCACGAUCCAGAAAAAUGUUUGUAAAGAUGAUGUUUUCCUGUUUGGACUGUGAUAGGUAGCCAUUGCAUUUGAUGAAUCGACGAUGUGUAAACGAGGAGACGUGUAAAGAGGCGUGUAUCCUAGCAACAAGGAGGUCAUGGAUUGUGACUGUGGGCAGAGAGGCAGAGGUGGUCCUGUCUUCUUCUUUGACCAGCCAACAAGACAGAAGUGGAUUCAAAGCAACAUUUUACACUUUUACAUCACAAGUGGAGGGUCACAGCUGGAUGGCCCUCAGCUAAG
This is a long non-coding RNA of Cyprinodon variegatus (sheepshead minnow), 307 nucleotides long. RefSeq lists it as uncharacterized. The transcript has 3 exons. Lineage: Eukaryota; Metazoa; Chordata; Actinopteri; Cyprinodontiformes; Cyprinodontidae. The record is from RefSeq and is a predicted model, not a curated record.